UUUAUGGAGAGUUUGAUCCUGGCUCAGGAUGAACGCUGGCGGCGUGCCUAAUACAUGCAAGUCGAGCGAACGGACGAGAAGCUUGCUUCUCUGAUGUUAGCGGCGGACGGGUGAGUAACACGUGGAUAACCUACCUAUAAGACUGGGAUAACUUCGGGAAACCGGAGCUAAUACCGGAUAAUAUUUUGAACCGCAUGGUUCAAAAGUGAAAGACGGUCUUGCUGUCACUUAUAGAUGGAUCCGCGCUGCAUUAGCUAGUUGGUAAGGUAACGGCUUACCAAGGCAACGAUGCAUAGCCGACCUGAGAGGGUGAUCGGCCACACUGGAACUGAGACACGGUCCAGACUCCUACGGGAGGCAGCAGUAGGGAAUCUUCCGCAAUGGGCGAAAGCCUGACGGAGCAACGCCGCGUGAGUGAUGAAGGUCUUCGGAUCGUAAAACUCUGUUAUUAGGGAAGAACAUAUGUGUAAGUAACUGUGCACAUCUUGACGGUACCUAAUCAGAAAGCCACGGCUAACUACGUGCCAGCAGCCGCGGUAAUACGUAGGUGGCAAGCGUUAUCCGGAAUUAUUGGGCGUAAAGCGCGCGUAGGCGGUUUUUUAAGUCUGAUGUGAAAGCCCACGGCUCAACCGUGGAGGGUCAUUGGAAACUGGAAAACUUGAGUGCAGAAGAGGAAAGUGGAAUUCCAUGUGUAGCGGUGAAAUGCGCAGAGAUAUGGAGGAACACCAG
Molecule: ribosomal RNA, 729 nt
Filed under: Staphylococcus aureus
Lineage: Bacteria; Bacillati; Bacillota; Bacilli; Caryophanales; Staphylococcaceae
Description: bacterial SSU rRNA
Rfam family: Bacterial small subunit ribosomal RNA
Source: RNAcentral